This 637-nucleotide ribosomal RNA is filed under the name Cristarma ortmanni. RNAcentral describes it as "Chiromantes ortmanni partial large subunit ribosomal RNA". It matches the Rfam family "Bacterial large subunit ribosomal RNA", at positions 1845 to 2776 of the family's 2925-position model. The record is from RNAcentral. Lineage: Eukaryota; Metazoa; Arthropoda; Malacostraca; Decapoda; Sesarmidae.
AUAAAAAGUCUAGCCUGCCCACUGAUAAAUAUUUAAAGGGCCGCGGUAUUUUGACUGUGCAAAGGUAGCAUAAUCGUUAGUUUUUUAAUUGGAAUCUUGUAUGAAUGGUUUGACAAAAAAAAAUCUGUCUCUAUAAUUAUUUAUUGAAUUUAACCUUUAAGUGAAAAGGCUUAAAUAAGUUAAAAAGACGAUAAGACCCUAUAAAACUUAAUAUUAUAUUCUUUAUUUAAUUAAAUUUUAAACUAUAUAAAAAUUUAAUAAUUAAUAUUUAUUUUAUUGGGGCGAUAAUGGUAAAAUUUCUAUUAACUGUUAUUUUUUUCUAGACAAAGAUAAGUGAAUGAAACAAGUAUUUAAAUGAUCCUGUAUUAUAGAUUAAAAGUUUAAGUUACUUUAGGGAUAACAGCGUUAUUUUUUUUGAGAGUUCUUAUCGAGAAAAAAGUUUGCGACCUCGAUGUUGAAUUAAAAUAUCUAUAUAAUUGUAGCAGUUAUAUGAGAAGGUCUGUUCGACCUUUAAAAUUUUACAUGAUUUGAGUUCAGACCGGCGUAAGCCAGGUCGGUUUCUAUCUUUUAAUAUUAAAAAAUUAUUUUAGUACGAAAGGAUUAAAUAAUUAAAAUUAUUUUAAAUAGUUGGAUGAAG